This is a long non-coding RNA of Lepidothrix coronata (blue-crowned manakin), 1971 nucleotides long. RefSeq lists it as uncharacterized. The record is from RefSeq and is a predicted model, not a curated record. NCBI's taxonomy places the organism in Eukaryota, Metazoa, Chordata, Aves, Passeriformes, Pipridae. The transcript has 4 exons.
CUCUCUCUUGCAGUAGCAGAAAAACAUGCACCUCUGUCUGUUGUGGUGUGGAACAGCAGUGCUGAAUGAAGCACUGGCCUUUUCUGUUUCAUUUACCAGGGAGAGCCUUGGACAACUUGCUGAUUGCUGAGUGAAUUUGAAGAUAUGAAAAACCACAGCAUAGUGUAACAAUGAAGGAACAAUACUAAGAUCUGACCUUGGUGCAUUUAUUCAUGUGCUUGAAGUUACACAAGUCUUUUGCUCUGUUUACCACAGUAACUAGCGUGAGGAAAUUAUCUACAGUGCAUCAUCUGAACGUGUCCAGUGUUUUGUGCAACUACACUGUCUAAGAAGAGGAUAACACAACAGGACUUCUGCCACAAGCACCUUUCUUUUGUGAUGUCACAAAUUUGUUGCAGGGUCUCCUCAUCAACGGCUUCCAGGCCCUGCCCGUGUUGGUUGUUAACAUCACCAAAAGAAGUAAGCUUGAUGGGGGGAUCCCGGUGACAGUGGGACCUGUGUCCUUUCAUUCCAUCAUCCUUCCACACCUCCAGGCAGAGCAUCACUGGGCAGCAUCCACCUGCUCCUUGGUUAACCUUCGAGAAGCGACGGGUGAUGUCAGGGCUUCUCUGCUUCAUGCCCUCCUCCAGUUCCCUAUCUGUGUAUUUCCAGUUCUGUAACUCUUCCCUUUCUAUCAUUUGUUGUUCAUUGCUGUUCAAUUUUUUCUCCUUGUUUUCAUUACCUAUAGCCCUCUCCCUCCCUAGGGGGCCUUCAAGGUUUUGCUAAUACAUACCUAAACAGAAAAACAAAUAGAAACAGCAGCAGUAGGAGAAACUAUUCACAGAGUGCACACAAGCUUGGCCACCUUCUUCAAACCAUGUUCUUUGUACUCCCCUAGCUUCCAUGGCUCUUAUGAAGAUAAAUCGUUGCUUAGUCCUUUCACUAUCCAUUUUUUGGAUUUUUUGUAUGUGAACUUAUCCAAUUCUUGUCUGAACCUACUGUUGGGAUCUGCUGCCACAACCUCUUUCAGCAGCAAGUCUAAAAAUACACUAGCCACUGUUUAAAUUAAUGUGUUAUUUUUAUCUGUUUUAAUUCCACCAAAUAAGCCAAAAUUGUAAUGUGGUGAAAAAUGGUUCUAUAUUCAUCUUUUCAGCCACCUCUGUGAUUUCAUAAACAAGUCUUGCCACAGCGCUCUCCCAGUUGAUAAUUUUUUAGUCUGAUCUCAUAAGACAGCCGCUACCUUUAAUCCCUUUAAUAAUUGCAAUUGUUUGAUAUGUAUCUUCCCUAACUUUUAUCAGGUCCUAUUCCAGGACCAAAACUGUAGAGCAUUCAAAAUGUGGAUACAAUAGAGUUGCAUUAGAGGUAAGGCAAAAUGAUGCUUUCUCACUACCAUUUCAGAUUAUGCCAAACACUGGGUUUUGCCUCUUGUUUGACAAACUCAUGCAGGGAUUUCAGAGAAUUUCAGUCUCAAGAACUUUAACAUUUCUGAGCUGUAUCUGGUCAUAAGAUCUGGAAGUGCUUUGUGACAAUUUGUGUACUUCAGAGAAAGCUAAUUAAAUACUGUUGUUAAAUUUUAGAAGCAUUUCAGUUAACCAGAAUUUCAUUCUGAAUCCCAUAAACGAUUACUUUUUACCAUUUUUCAUAUCAUCCAUGAAUAUGUCUAUUGGUCCCAGUGCUGUAGGUCUUCCAAAGGAACACCUCUACUUGGAGUGAAGUGGAAUUCUAGUUUAAAUAAGCUCAAAUGUAUCUUUGGUAUAAGGCAGACAAGGUGAAAACACUGUAGAUCUUAGCUAGGAAGACAACAUAGAGAGCAAAUUGGAAUUAUUUUUGGAUCAGUACCUGAGUCCUAUGAUAGAAAAGCCAGCUGCUUCUUCUGUGGUUGAUGAUCUCCAUGCUGAGUGUAGAAGAAGGAGGGGAAUGAGUGCUCCUUAAACAUCAUUGAAAUUUUCAUAGGUUUUUGGGAAUUUUCUUAAUUCCUUAAUUUUCAAUGCC